Molecule: RNase P RNA, 434 nt
Filed under: Candidatus Peribacteria bacterium RIFCSPHIGHO2_02_FULL_51_15
Lineage: Bacteria; Candidatus Peregrinibacteriota; Candidatus Peribacteria
Also listed under: 2 other names
Description: RNase P RNA component class A
Rfam family: Bacterial RNase P class A
About the family: Ribonuclease P (RNase P) is a ubiquitous endoribonuclease, found in archaea, bacteria and eukarya as well as chloroplasts and mitochondria. Its best characterised activity is the generation of mature 5'-ends of tRNAs by cleaving the 5'-leader elements of precursor-tRNAs. Cellular RNase Ps are ribonucleoproteins.
Source: RNAcentral
CCUGUUCUUUAGAUGACCGCCCCGCUUCCGCGGGGAGGAACGUCCGGACAGCAAUGGAAUGCCUAGUGGGUAACGCCCACCCAUGCAACAUAUAUCCGGUAAAGUUGCAUGCGGACAAGUGCCACAGAGACGAGCAGUCCGCCCUCAGGCGGAUGAUAUGAAACGUCCCCGCAGCACUCGUGCGUGCGGGGUUGGCCCCGGGGAAUCCGGGGCAUCACGGCAAACUUCUAGGUGCUGCAAGGAGGAUUUGGGUGGUCAGAUCAAGCGAUGAUUCCGUCGCUCCGGCCACCCCUCCGCUAAUCCCCGCGAAGCCGAAAGGCGAAGUGGGGUAGAUCCGCUGAGAAUAUCCGCGGGCCAGAUAGAUGGUCAUCUCGGCGUAGUCCGCCUCGGGCGGACGAAGCCGGACAGAAUCCGGCGUACGAAGUACAGGCGUA